Molecule: ribosomal RNA, 459 nt
Filed under: uncultured Weissella sp.
Lineage: Bacteria; Bacillati; Bacillota; Bacilli; Lactobacillales; Lactobacillaceae
Description: partial 16S ribosomal RNA
Rfam family: Bacterial small subunit ribosomal RNA
Source: RNAcentral
ACGGAAGGCAGCAGUAGGGAAUCUUCCACAAUGGGCGAAAGCCUGAUGGAGCAAUGCCGCGUGUGUGAUGAAGGGUUUCGGCUCGUAAAACACUGUUAUAAGAGAAGAAUGACAUUGCGAGUAACUGUUCAAUGCGUGACGGUAUCUUACCACAAAGGAACGGCUAAAUACGUGCCAGCAGCCGCUGUAAUACGUAUGUUCCAAGCGUUAUCCGGAUUUAUUGGGCGUAAAGCGAGCGCAGACGGUUAUUUAAGUCUGAAGAGAAAGCACUGUGCACAACUGAGGAAUUGCUUUGGAAACUGGAUGACUUGAGUGCAGUAGAGGAAAGUGGAACUCCAUGUGUAGCGGUGAAAUGCGUAGAUAUAUGGCAGAACACCAGUGGCGAAGGCGGCUUUCUGGACUGUAACUGACGUUGAGGCUCGAAAGUGUGGGUAGCAAACAGGAUUAGAUCCCCUGGUA